RNAcentral lists this long non-coding RNA (415 nucleotides) under Mytilus galloprovincialis (Mediterranean mussel). Lineage: Eukaryota; Metazoa; Mollusca; Bivalvia; Mytilida; Mytilidae. The record is from RNAcentral.
GGUAUUUUAAAUUUAUUUGAGCCCAAUUAUUAAGGGAAAUUCAGAAAUAAGCCCAUCGAAAAAUCAAAUCAUAUUAAAUUGGUUGACAUUCAUCAUGGUCAAACGUUGUAGGAGCCAAAUACACAAAAUUAUUGGAGGCAUCAAAACCAAAACACCAAAAAAUAUUCCGUUUUAAAUAAAAUUAAACAAAUUUUGAAACAAAACAUUGCGUUUUUCUGGCAUGAUGAAUUAAGAUUUUACUAUUUCUUACUUGUAUCGUUCUGGUACUCGCUUUUUACGGGCUAACGGUGGCAUGUAUAGCGUCAUUGUUAUUGAAAUUACGGGUAUCCGAUAUUUUCUAAAGGGAAACCAUUUAAUUAGCCGCCAUAUUUGUUGAUAAACGUUACCACAGCGAUACCAUUCGGACUACCUUUAU